UUCAGAACGUCACAUUGGCUUCCUGAUUCUGUUGUUCGAUACACAACGUGCGUGAUCGUUGGUAAAUGUGGAUUAAAAGUUGAAACUAAAACUGUUAAAUUAUAUAUAGUGAUCAUCAGAGGACUUGGCUGAAACAACGCGAUUCACAUGGAUUACUUCGGCGAUGUUUUUUAUUGCUGUUGCGAUUAACUUUUUGAAAUGUGAGCAGUUUUUAAGUAUCAAGUGGAUCUGACAUCGAGGGGAAAUAUACGUUUCUUGGAUUUCAUUAAAGUACAUCGGUUUUUGUUUGAAGAUGAAUGAGAGAACAUGAGGCACAGCGGCAUUCAAAUUGACCAUUCAGAGCCGAGAAUAUCUAAUAAGUCGAGGUAGAGAUGAACAGAUGAAGAUACAGCCCGUAAAAAUACUUAUUCUUGGUGAGUGCCAUGUAGCGACGGAUCAAACGGACACUCAUGUCAAGCUUGAUGAGGACACAGUCAAAGCUUUAAAAGACCUUGUGAUUAAGUCUUCAGUGUCUGAAUGGCAAGAAGAAGUGACCCUCCACUAAAACGUGACAUUUAAACUGCUCUGUGUUUUAGUUCGCCAAUUUGUAGGUUUAUCUCGAGUUAUGCUGCGUUCCAGGCAGGUUUUUAAACCCGUGAGUUACGACUUCAAAACCACGACUCACGACCCUAUGCGUUCCAGGCAGCCUGUAACUCGUGUUUUUACAACCUUCUACCGGUGAAAGUGCACUGGAACGGCAGUCAAACCCGUGACUUCCCACCUGUGAACUCGUACUAGAUCGAUGUACUCCCAGUUCAGAGUCGUGAGUUACGGGUUACAGGUUGCCUGGAACGCAGCAUUAGUUCAAAUGCACUUCUGCAUUUGUCCAGUAACUUUUUGU
Long non-coding RNA from Paramisgurnus dabryanus, 880 nucleotides. RefSeq lists it as uncharacterized. Lineage: Eukaryota; Metazoa; Chordata; Actinopteri; Cypriniformes; Cobitidae. The record is from RefSeq and is a predicted model, not a curated record.